This 1108-nucleotide long non-coding RNA is filed under the name Felis catus (domestic cat). RNAcentral's name for it is "lncRNA (ENSFCAG00000045344.2)". Lineage: Eukaryota; Metazoa; Chordata; Mammalia; Carnivora; Felidae. The record is from RNAcentral.
CCCCACGUGGCGGGGGAGCGGGCGGCGAGGCCGAGGGCCGCGGCCGGCCUGGGGGCGCCGGACGCCUUCCGCGGCCGGGCGGGCGGCGGCCCGGUUCAAGUCAUUAGGGAUUAAAUUUACAAAACGCACGCGCACUCAUUUAAAACAAGCCCAGAGAAGUAAAGUUUUGAAAGGAAACGCUGCAGAGUGGCUCCCCUCCGGCCCUGGCUCCAUCGGCUCCGCCGCACGGCUUUCAGCGCCUGUCCCCGUUUCCCAGGGGCGCGCCCGGGGCCCGGGCUGCCGCGGGGUCGCGGAGGGCUCGGGCGGGAAGGGAGGGAGCGGGGCCCGCGGCGGGGCGGUCCUCGGGGGGGGGGCCCGGGGCUGCACGGCGCGGGGGACGCGUCCCGGGGCCGCCGCCGCCGCCGCCGCCGCCGGGUCCUAGGCGGAGCAGAGAGCAGGAGGACGCGGAGCCGGGCCGCUGGAAGCCGGGGAGCCUCGGCGUCGCCGCCGGCCUGUGCAAACAGACGGACGACAGUGACAGCGCGCAGCCGGCGGGGGAAGGGUGGGAGGGGCCCCCGGGUGCCGGGGGAAUCCCCACCCCACGGCUCCAUCUCCCCCCGGUGCAGCUCUGCUGCCCGCGGACCCUUGGACCCAGGAGGCGGCUGGGUGACCCUCUUUCAAAGGCAGGGCAGCCCAGAGGAUUCCUGCCGUCGCCCCUAGGCACCCUGCGACCGUGGGAUUCUUGGAGAGUGUCACCUCUGCUAGAUUUCACUGGGACUCGCCACUGUCUGAUGAGAACAUCUGCCCAGUAUUGUAGAGGUUAUAGAGAAUGGAAAUGUUUAUAGCCCGAAAGGAAGAAAUAAGAAACCGUGUGUCCUAUCAGAGAAUGAAGAUCCUGGGCUAAAAACAAAAGCCUGAAAACACUGACAGAUGAAGCCCAGAACAUUUGGCUGAUCGUUGUAUAUUUGAUGAAGAUUUUGUGUCCUUAGUCUGAAAGACAUUGUAAAAUAUUAUAGAUUUAGUUUCUGCCGAUUCAGUUUCUUCCAAGUGAUCCGCUUAAUUUCACAGGUGUGGAGGUGGUUAGAAGUCCUCAUACUGGGUGGUAAAUAAAAUGAUUUCUUCUGUUACA